UUGGGGUUUUAAAGUGUACGCAGGCGGUUUUGUUAAGCGAGAUGUGAAAAGCCCCCGGGGCUCAACCUGGGAACUGCAUUUCGAACUGGCAAGCUAGAGUCUUGUAGAGGGGGGGUAGAAUUUUCAGGUGUAGCGGUGAAAUGCGUAGAGAUCUGAAGGAAUACCGGUGGCGAAGGCGGCCCCCUGGACAAAGACUGACGCUCAGGUACGAAAGCGUGGGGAGCAAACAGGAUUAGAUACCCUCGUUA
RNAcentral lists this ribosomal RNA (248 nucleotides) under uncultured Pseudomonadota bacterium. RNAcentral's name for it is "uncultured proteobacterium partial 16S ribosomal RNA". It matches the Rfam family "Bacterial small subunit ribosomal RNA", at positions 556 to 792 of the family's 1533-position model. Lineage: Bacteria; Pseudomonadati; Pseudomonadota. The record is from RNAcentral.